Small nuclear RNA from Notamacropus eugenii (tammar wallaby), 107 nucleotides. The record is from Ensembl. NCBI's taxonomy places the organism in Eukaryota, Metazoa, Chordata, Mammalia, Diprotodontia, Macropodidae.
GUGCUUACUUCAACAGCAUAUAUUUUAAAACUAGAAUGAUACAGAGAAGAUUAGCAUGCCCCCUAAGCAAGUAUGAUGCACAAAUUUGUGAAAUGUUUCAUAUUUUU